GACGAACGCUGGCGGCGUGCUUAACACAUGCAAGUCGAACGGAAAGGCCUGCUUUCCCUUGUGGAUUGCGGAUACUCGAGUGGCGAACGGGUGAGUAACACGUGAGUGAUCUGCCCCCAACUUGGGUAUAAGCCUGGGAAACUGGGUCUAAUUCCCGAUAGGACUGCAGGGUGGUGCCUGUGGUGGAAAACGAUUUUCUAGUGGUUGGGGAUGAGCUCGCGGCCUAUCAGCUUGUUGGUGGGGUAAUGGCCUACCAAGGCGGCGACGGGUAGCCGGCCUGAGAGGGUGGACGGCCACAUUGGGACUGAGAUACGGCCCAGACUCCUACGGGAGGCAGCAGGGGGGAAUAUUGCACAAUGGGCGGAAGCCUGAUGCAGCGACGCCGCGUGGGGGAUGACGGCCUUCGGGUUGUAAACUCCUUUCGACCGCGAGGAAGCCACCUGGUUGGAAGGGUGGUGACGGUAGUGGUAGAAGAAGCACCGGCUAACUACGUG
RNAcentral lists this ribosomal RNA (494 nucleotides) under uncultured bacterium. RNAcentral describes it as "partial 16S ribosomal RNA". It matches the Rfam family "Bacterial small subunit ribosomal RNA", at positions 28 to 507 of the family's 1533-position model. The record is from RNAcentral.